UACGAAGGGGGCUAGCGUUGCUCGGAAUCACUGGGCGUAAAGGGUGCGUAGGCGGGUUUUAAGUCAGAGGUGAAAUCCUGGAGCUCAACUCCAGAACUGCCUUUGAUACUGAAGAUCUUGAGUUCGGGAGAGGUGAGUGGAACUGCGAGUGUAGAGGUGAAAUUCGUAGAUAUUCGCAAGAACACCAGUGGCGAAGGCGGCUCACUGGCCCGAUACUGACGCUGAGGCACGAAAGCGUGGGGAGCAAACAGG
RNAcentral lists this ribosomal RNA (252 nucleotides) under uncultured bacterium. RNAcentral's name for it is "partial 16S ribosomal RNA". It matches the Rfam family "Bacterial small subunit ribosomal RNA", at positions 524 to 776 of the family's 1533-position model. The record is from RNAcentral.